ACGACGAAGCAAAUCGGUGGUGGCUCUCCUCGACGACGACGGAAAUCGACGGUUGGUGCUCAUUAGAAUAGAAAGGUAAAGCUCUGAAAUUUUAUGGGUUUUUUUGAAUCCUCAAUUGGCUCAGUCCAAUCGAAAGGUUUAUAAAUGUUUUAGAUUAUGUUCUUCUUGUUAUUCUCAAGCGGUUUGUAAGUUAAUUGUGUGUUCUUUAAUUGCAGAUGAAAGUCCAUUGAAGGGAGAUUCAUAAUCUCUUCAAAGAUAAUCGUUCUUCUCUGCAAACUGAAGGUUCAAUCAUCAUCAUCUGUAUUACUUUCAGUUCUUAUUGGUUUAGUAGCUUCUCGUUAGGUGGCUUGGUUGAAUGAUCUAGAUUCAUGAGAAUGAAGAACGGUUUUGUUCAAUUUAAUAUAUAAAUCCUGUGAUUCCUUUUGAUAUGUUUAUGUUCUGUUAUAGAUUCUUGAGAUUGAAGAACGGUUUGAUCAUCCG
This 480-nucleotide long non-coding RNA is filed under the name Brassica napus (rape). RNAcentral describes it as "long non-coding RNA (BNAP_LNC017589)". Lineage: Eukaryota; Viridiplantae; Streptophyta; Magnoliopsida; Brassicales; Brassicaceae. The record is from RNAcentral.